RNAcentral lists this ribosomal RNA (468 nucleotides) under uncultured bacterium. RNAcentral describes it as "partial 16S ribosomal RNA". It matches the Rfam family "Bacterial small subunit ribosomal RNA", at positions 28 to 507 of the family's 1533-position model. The record is from RNAcentral.
GACGAACGCUGGCGGCGUGCUUAACACAUGCAAGUCGAACGGAAAGGCCCUGCUUUUGUGGGGUGCUCGAGUGGCGAACGGGUGAGUAACACGUGAGUAACCUGCCCUUGACUUUGGGAUAACUUCAGGAAACUGGGGCUAAUACCGGAUAGGAGCUCCUGCUGCAUGGUGGGGGUUGGAAAGUUUCGGCGGUUGGGGAUGGACUCGCGGCUUAUCAGCUUGUUGGUGGGGUAGUGGCUUACCAAGGCUUUGACGGGUAGCCGGCCUGAGAGGGUGACCGGCCACAUUGGGACUGAGAUACGGCCCAGACUCACACGGGAGGCAGCAGUGGGGAAUAUUGCACAAUGGGCGGAAGCCUGAUGCAGCAACGACGCGUGCGGGAUGACGGCCUUCGGGUUGUAAACCGCUUCCGCCUGUGACGAAGCGUGAGUGACGGUAAUGGGUAAAGAAGCACCGGCUAACUACGUG